Molecule: ribosomal RNA, 801 nt
Filed under: Prevotella intermedia
Lineage: Bacteria; Pseudomonadati; Bacteroidota; Bacteroidia; Bacteroidales; Prevotellaceae
Description: bacterial SSU rRNA
Rfam family: Bacterial small subunit ribosomal RNA
Source: RNAcentral
AGUGCACGCAACGUAUGCGGAAUUCAUGGUGUAGCGGUGAAAUGCUUAGAUAUCAUGACGAACUCCGAUUGCGAAGGCAGCGUACGGGAGUGUUACUGACGCUUAAGCUCGAAGGUGCGGGUAUCGAACAGGAUUAGAUACCCUGGUAGUCCGCACGGUAAACGAUGGAUGCCCGCUGUUAGCGCCUGGCGUUAGCGGCUAAGCGAAAGCAUUAAGCAUCCCACCUGGGGAGUACGCCGGCAACGGUGAAACUCAAAGGAAUUGACGGGGGCCCGCACAAGCGGAGGAACAUGUGGUUUAAUUCGAUGAUACGCGAGGAACCUUACCCGGGCUUGAAUUGCAGACGCAGGAUACAGAGAUGUUGACUCCCUUCGGGGCGUCUGUGAAGGUGCUGCAUGGUUGUCGUCAGCUCGUGCCGUGAGGUGUCGGCUUAAGUGCCAUAACGAGCGCAACCCCUUUCCUUAGUUGCCAUCAGGUGAUGCUGGGCACUCUGGGGACACUGCCACCGCAAGGUGUGAGGAAGGUGGGGAUGACGUCAAAUCAGCACGGCCCUUACGUCCGGGGCUACACACGUGUUACAAUGGCCGGUACAGAGGGACGGUGUAAUGCAAAUUGCAUCCAAUCUUGAAAGCCGGUCCCAGUUCGGACUGAGGUCUGCAACCCGACCUCACGAAGCUGGAUUCGCUAGUAAUCGCGCAUCAGCCAUGGCGCGGUGAAUACGUUCCCGGGCCUUGUACACACCGCCCGUCAAGCCAUGAAAGCCGGGGGUGCCUGAAGUUCGUAACCGCGAGGAGCGACCUA